This 253-nucleotide ribosomal RNA is filed under the name uncultured bacterium. RNAcentral's name for it is "partial 16S ribosomal RNA". It matches the Rfam family "Bacterial small subunit ribosomal RNA", at positions 524 to 776 of the family's 1533-position model. The record is from RNAcentral.
UACGUAGGGGGCAAGCGUUGUCCGGAAUCAUUGGGCGUAAAGCGCGUGUAGGCGGCUCGAUUAGUCCGCUGUGAAAGUCGGGGGCUCAACCCUCGGAUGCCGGUGGAUACUGUCGGGCUUGAGUACGGAAGAGGCGAGUGGAAUUCCUGGUGUAGCGGUGAAAUGCGCAGAUAUCAGGAGGAACACCAAUUGCGAAGGCAGCGCGCUGGGACGUUACUGACGCUGAGACGCGAAAGCGUGGGGAGCGAACAGG